GAUGAACGCUGGCGGCGUGCCUAAUACAUGCAAGUCGAGCGAACGGACGAGAAGCUUGCUUCUCUGAUGUUAGCGGCGGACGGGUGAGUAACACGUGGAUAACCUACCUAUAAGACUGGGAUAACUUCGGGAAACCGGAGCUAAUACCGGAUGAUAUUUUGAACCGCAUGGUUCAAAAGUGAAAGACGGUCUUGCUGUCACUUAUAGAUGGAUCCGCGCUGCAUUAGCUAGUUGGUAAGGUAACGGCUUACCAAGGCAACGAGGCAUAGCCGACCGGAGAGGGUGAUCGGCGACACGGGAAGGGAGACACGGUCCAGGCUACUACGGGAGGCAGCAGUAGGGAAUGUUCCGCAAUGGGCGAAAGCCUGACGGAGCAACGCCGCGUGAGUGAUGAAGGUCUUCGGAUCGGAAAACUCUGUUAUGAGGGAAGAACAUAUGUGUAAGUAACUGUGCACAGCUUGACGGUACCUAAUCAGAAAGCCACGGCUAACUACGUG
This 497-nucleotide ribosomal RNA is filed under the name uncultured bacterium. RNAcentral describes it as "partial 16S ribosomal RNA". It matches the Rfam family "Bacterial small subunit ribosomal RNA", at positions 28 to 507 of the family's 1533-position model. The record is from RNAcentral.